UGCAAGUCGGAGGGCCGCAGGCCGUGGCGUAAGGGUGAGUAAGGCGACGGCAAUCAACCCCACGGUUGGGUAUAGCCGCGAGAAAUCGCGGGUAAUCCCCAGCGACGCAGGGCGUCGGCAUCGACGCCCUGCCAAAGGCUCGCCGCCGUGGGACGAGCCGUCGUGGUAUUAGGUCGUUGGCGGGGUAACGGCCCACCAAGCCUGCGAUGCCUACCGGGCGUGCGAGCGUGGCCCGGCACACUGGGACUGAGACACUGCCCAGACUCCUACGGGAGGCUGCAGUCGAGAAUCUUCGGCAAUGGGCGCAAGCCUGACCGAGCGACGCCGCGUGGAGGACGAAGGCCUUCGGGUUGUAAACUCCUGUCGAGGGGAAGGAAGGGGCCGCAAGGCCCUUGACCGCUCCCUGGAGGAAGCACGGGCUAAGUUCGUGCCAGCAGCCGCGGUAAGACGAACCGUGCGAACGUUAUUCGGAAUCACU
This 478-nucleotide ribosomal RNA is filed under the name uncultured bacterium. Its description in RNAcentral is "bacterial SSU rRNA". It matches the Rfam family "Bacterial small subunit ribosomal RNA", at positions 56 to 555 of the family's 1533-position model. The record is from RNAcentral.